GAGGGUACAGCUCAGCAGUAGAGCAUGUGCUUAGCAUGCACAGGGUCCUGGGUUCAACCCCCAGUAUCGUCA
Molecule: transfer RNA, 72 nt
Filed under: Camelus bactrianus (Bactrian camel)
Lineage: Eukaryota; Metazoa; Chordata; Mammalia; Artiodactyla; Camelidae
Also listed under: 2 other names
Rfam family: tRNA
About the family: Transfer RNA (tRNA) molecules are approximately 80 nucleotides in length. Their secondary structure includes four short double-helical elements and three loops (D, anti-codon, and T loops). Further hydrogen bonds mediate the characteristic L-shaped molecular structure. tRNAs have two regions of fundamental functional importance: the anti-codon, which is responsible for specific mRNA codon recognition, and the 3' end, to which the tRNAs corresponding amino acid is attached (by aminoacyl-tRNA synthetases). tRNAs cope with the degeneracy of the genetic code in two manners: having more than one tRNA (with a specific anti-codon) for a particular amino acid; and 'wobble' base-pairing, i.e. permitting non-standard base-pairing at the 3rd anti-codon position.
Source: Rfam by way of RNAcentral